UGGGGUAUUGUGGAUUUCAUGUAAAGAGAGAUAGCCUACCCCAUCAAGGAACAUGUUCAAGGGGGACCCAUCUUUUGUUACAUCUUCUAAACAUUUUAAACUUUAGAGCCAUAUUGCAUUAAACCCCCAAGAAUAGAAUUGCACUUUCGUCGAUGCCUUAAUCCUUUAACUGGCUAACAUCAAAAUUUUCAGUCACCGCCUUCUCCAACCAAACAGACUUCACCAGGUUUCCUAAAAAUAAUUUCCUAUCAACCGCCUUUUGUUAAGACAUUUUGCUUAAUCCAUCUAAUGGUAUCUUAAGCAUAAAUUAAGUCUCCGAUAUAGCACAUAAAAUUCCUAUCCCAAUUAAGAAAGAGGGAGGCUGCCAUCAGUGAGAGUCCUCUACAAUCCAGGAACCAAGAUCAUGUGACAUGACCAGCACAACUGGUCCAACUGCCCAAUAUGGUCAGUCAGCAUUCGAGAAGCAUCUCGAAAUUCAUCCAAUGAAGUUCUGAGAUUCACCCAGUCAAGAACCGUCUAAAGUCCAUCAACACCUUCACACAAUCCUAUUCACGAAGUCAUUUAAUGACUCAAAGCCCACAUCCCUGCCUUAAUAGUCAGUUACAGAGGUGAGCCAAUUUACACUUCAAAAUUGAAUAACUCUUUCACAGUCAAUAUUAAAAUUUGUAACCACGAAAUUAACACUGAAGACCCACCGAAAACAGUGAAACAAAAUGAAAAACGAAAAGAACGGACAUUACCGCAGAUUCUGGCUAAUAAAAAUUCUAUGCUCCAAAUGCCUUUUCUAUACGAUGAGUGAAUGCAUGGGGUCAUUGGGGGCAGUCUUAAUUACGUAGUAGUUUUUACUGAAGUAUAUAUACAUACCUUACAAAAUUUUUCAAUCUUUAUUUCACUAAAAUUGAUCAAAAGGGGGGUCUAGAUCCAUGUGAACAGGAAAUAUAAAUGACAACAAGAACAGCAAUACCAUCUUUUACACCUACCUGGAUAUCACAUUGCUCUCUUACUUA
Molecule: long non-coding RNA, 1007 nt
Filed under: Olea europaea subsp. europaea
Lineage: Eukaryota; Viridiplantae; Streptophyta; Magnoliopsida; Lamiales; Oleaceae
Source: RNAcentral